This is a non-coding RNA of Paramisgurnus dabryanus, 795 nucleotides long. The record is from RefSeq and is a predicted model, not a curated record. NCBI's taxonomy places the organism in Eukaryota, Metazoa, Chordata, Actinopteri, Cypriniformes, Cobitidae.
UUAAAGGUUUAUACACCCUGCACAGAGAUAACACCAAGCUAGAGAUAAAUAUUAACUAGCGAGUAAUCUUUACUGAUUAGAAUCUGACCAUCCCUCCAGAAAUCCCCUUUUGAGUGCCAGGUUAUAUAAUGCGGGGGACAUUUUUUUAAAGUCAUGCCCGCCUGCCAAAUAUGCAAGAUUUUCUUGAUCUUUCUGUCCAGAUAAGCAGUAUAUUCCCAGCACACUUAUGGUGUUUUUGAGAUCAAAUGGGCAUUGACAGUUUACCACGGUCUAUGGGAUGUUCGGUCGAUAAAAACGCGCUUAAUGUUUGAUCUUCUUCCUGUUUUGAAUCGGUUUUUUAUGUUUGUGCACUGAAGCUUUUUAUAAAGAACCUAUUCUACUGCAAGGACAAAGCACAUGAUGGAAACUCCCUAACGUUAAUUUGUUUAUGGUUGGGCAUGGAUGAUUUUUAAAAUCACUAACAGUUUUAUUUGUUGGCAGAGAGAAGUUAACCUGAUGACUCCAUCCAUCUGGGAGAGUUUCUCAGCCAUGGCAGGGUGAUCAGGGCCAAAUCUGUGCCCACAGUGAUCCACACCCAGGAAGUGAGCGAUCAACACAUCCCAGUCAUCCCCCUCCACUGUGGACAGCAAACAAGAAGCGUUACACCCACUCAUUCAGAUGCCGUGUUUACAGGAUAAACUUAAGAAACGUAAACAGCAGCAUAAACACUGUGAGGAAACUAAGGCGACAUCUGUCUGAGAUCCUAUUAAAGCUUCAAUGCUCCUCUACACUCGCUGACAUGCAGCGGAAUCGCAU